This is a non-coding RNA of Theobroma cacao (cacao), 150 nucleotides long. The record is from RefSeq and is a predicted model, not a curated record. Lineage: Eukaryota; Viridiplantae; Streptophyta; Magnoliopsida; Malvales; Malvaceae.
AGAGAAAGUGUUGGAAUUCAAGGAUUUGAUCAAGCAAAGGUGGUGAGCCAUUAGAUACGGAUAAAGGACUGUACCCGCGGACUGAAAAUAAGAGUAUAUCGACUCCUAGAACUGCUCAGGAUAAUUUGUUGAUAGUUGAUUAAGACGAGA